CGGCGGACGGGUGAGUAAUGCCUAGGAAUCUGCCUGGUAGUGGGGGACAACGUUUCGAAAGGAACGCUAAUACCGCAUACGUCCUACGGGAGAAAGCAGGGGACCUUCGGGCCUUGCGCUAUCAAAUGAGCCUAGGUCGGAUUAGCUAGUUGGUGAGGUAAUGGCUCACCAAGGCGACGAUCCGUAACUGGUCUGAGAGGAUGAUCAGUCACACCGGAACUGAGACACGGUCCAGACUCCUACGGGAGGCAGCAGCC
This 257-nucleotide ribosomal RNA is filed under the name uncultured Pseudomonas sp. Its description in RNAcentral is "partial 16S ribosomal RNA". It matches the Rfam family "Bacterial small subunit ribosomal RNA", at positions 96 to 355 of the family's 1533-position model. Lineage: Bacteria; Pseudomonadati; Pseudomonadota; Gammaproteobacteria; Pseudomonadales; Pseudomonadaceae. The record is from RNAcentral.